Long non-coding RNA from Prionailurus viverrinus (fishing cat), 323 nucleotides. RefSeq lists it as uncharacterized. NCBI's taxonomy places the organism in Eukaryota, Metazoa, Chordata, Mammalia, Carnivora, Felidae. The record is from RefSeq and is a predicted model, not a curated record. The transcript has 3 exons.
CUUUAGUGGAGAUGAGCUGUCACUCGCUAUUAAAAGUUCAAAGUCAAAUUUGCAGUCCACUUCUGGCAAGGAAGACAGAGCUUCGUGAGGCCAUAUACAUGUUACCUCCUAAAAGAAUUGUGAACCAAGAAAAGCAAGAGCCCUAGCUUGAUGAGUUCCACUGACCUGGAUGCAGGAGGAAAGACAAAGUGAAAGAGGAUGAGUGAGGAGAGUGAAAACAGGGCAAACCCUCCUACAAUCUGCUCCUUUCACUUAGGUCACGGGUAGUGCAUUGCCCCGAACACUGGUCUCCAAGGACUCAGGGCUACUCUUUCCGAGGCAUG